AUAACCCUGAUUACCCGUUCCCGUUAUCCUCACUUUAUGUCCCUAAACACUUGUCACAAGGGACCUAGCCUAAAGAAUAUCAUCGGGAUGGACACUACUGCUAAGGGGUUUCCUCAACCAUACAUGUCCUAAAGGCAACCAUGAGGGGGAUGGAGUACAGCGAAUGAACACUCUUAGUUCAUUAACACCUACAGGUUGCGGACCUGCUAAUGUUUCCCACUGGACUGUCUAGAAAGUCCGUGGUCGUCAUCCAAACUCCGCUAGAUGACUGGAUCUCAAAACACAUCGAGGCCUCUCAUCAAUUUUAUUUUAUCACACAUCACAAUCUACCCAUGUUCUACCCAACAUAUUUGUAGAUAAAAAUACUUAUACAGUUUAAAACUUGUAUAAAACAUCAACACAACAAUCACCUCAAAUAAAUAAUUAAUAUAUUUACACAUAGCACGUAUUAUAAGGUAAAUACUUCAUAUCUAUGUGUAAAAUGAAAGUGACUAUACACUCACAUGAUUUGAUGAUAAUCGGGCAGCAAUUCGUUUCCUAAAACGAUCGUUUCUAAUAAAACCGGGAGUUUUAUUGAGAAACCGGGCUUUGUAAAAGUCGGGCUUCGAAACCGAAAAGAUAAAUUUUCCGGGCUUCUCGGGCACUUCGUGGGGUAUUCCGGGCUUUACAAUCGAUACCGGGGCUUUGCGGGAUGUUAAUAUGAAGAAAAUAUGGGUUUAGUGGCUAAAUAUGGCAAAAUUCCAAAAAUACCUGGGAGGUCUCGCACCCUCCUAUUUAUAGGGGGAAGGUUCUGAUCGGACGACCAGGAGGCUUCUGAUCCGACAGCUGAGAAGGCUCGCAGAGGGGGAGACUCGCAUGAGGGCUACGCGUGCGAAGGGCUCUCUGGCGGCUUGUGAUUGGACCGAGAUCUAGGGUCCGAAGUAGGGGGUUCGUGGCGCCUGCGAGGGUUCGGACUCAUGAGUCACUACACACGCGUCGGAUGCGAGGUUCGCCACCGAGGCGUCUACGUGUAGUCAGCGGAUUGGACCGCAGCUCGAACUCGGAAGGACAUGACACGCCUCGCCAGGUGGCUUCGUGACUCAGCAGCCUGGUGACUCAGCUGCUUCGGUGACUAAGCAGGACACGUGUCACAUGCGAGGCGAGGGUGACGUGGCAAAGUGUGACUAUGCGAAAUUUCUCGGUUUUCGCGCCAAAACUUCUAAAAUCCAUAACUUUCGCAUACGAGCUCCGUUUUUGACGUUCUUUAUAUGCACGCGUAGCUAAAAUUACGAUCUACAACUUCCGUUUAGACUUCGUCGGCUAAUUUUGACUUUAAAUUUUAUAUUAUUAUUUUUAACAGACCGGGACAGGAAAUCCGUUAAAAAUUCAUAACUUCUUCAUCCGACGUCCGUUUUCGUCAGACUUUUUACCGUUGUGCUCCUAAUGACGAGACCUUCAAUUCUCGUUUAGGUUGUGUCGGCUAAAAAUCGCUCGAUCUAAAAUUCGAGUUUUUUAGUUGUCUACUGCUACGCUGAAACUUCGAAAAAUCAUAACUUCCUCAUACGAAGUCAGAUUUGGGCGUUCUUUUUAUCGAACUUCUCGGUUUAACGAAUACUACAACUUUCGUUUAGAUUACUAAGGCUAAAAAGUAGUUUAUCAAAAACUCACUUUUUACGACAUUCAGCACCGUGCCGGUUUUGUCGCGAAACUUCGACAGGUCAUAACUUCUUCGUUAUAACUCGGAUUUUGGUAUUCUUUAUAUCCCCGAAAUCCUUGUUUCGACCACUACAACUUUAUGUAAAGAUAUCGGGCUUAUCUCACACUUUAAUUUUGACGCUUAUUUUUAUUCUUAAUUAAUUAAGCCCUAAUAAUUAAGCAUAAAACACAUAAUUCACAUAAUAUUCACAUAAUUCCUUUUCAUUUCUUCAAAAUGAGUUACAAAGGUUAACCUAGACUAUCAACUCAAUAUAAAUGCCUAGGCUAGAAACACGAGUGUUACAAUUCUCUCCCCCUUAGGAUGAUUCCGUCCCCGGAAUCACAUAUCACCAAACAACUGCGGGUAGCGACUCAUCAUGUCACUCUCCGUUUCCCAAGUGAGAUUUGGUCCAUUCGUAUGUUUCCAGCGCACAAGCACUAAAUCGACCAUCUUGCGUCGUAACUUCAUAGUCUUACGGUCAACGAUUGCCUCAGGUUCUUCGAUCAACCUCUUGUUUUCAUCCAACCUUAACUCAGAAAUCGGAAUUAUGUCGGGCACAUCUCCUGUGAACUUUCUCAAAUAACACACAUGAAAGGUGUUAUGAAUACCCUCUAGUUCUUCCGGUAACUCUAGCUUGUAAGCUUGAUUCCCGAUUCUCUGAAGAACUUUAAAUGGUCCAAUAAACCUUGGACUCAACUUCCCUCUCUUACCAAAUCUUAUAAGUCCCUUCCACGGCGAGACUUUAAGUAAAACCGAAUCUCCAACAUCGAAGGAUAUCGGUUGUCUUUUCUUGUCAGCAUAACUCUUUUGUCGAUCUUGAGCAGCUAACAUCCUUUCCCUUAUCACUUUCAACUUUUCAGCAGUCUCAUGGACUAUUUCAGGUCCCAUAAACUGCUUUUCCCCAGCUUCCAGCCAACAUGAUGGCGUUCGACACUUCUCCCCAUACAAAGCGUGAUAAGGUGCCAUCUUAAUGCUUGAGUGGAAACUAUUAUUAUAGGAGAAUUCUACUAAAGGUAAGUGUUCAUCCCAGUUACCUUGGAAUUCUAGGGUACAUGCUCUCAGCAUAUCCUCCAAUGUUUGAAUCGUUCGCUCGCUCUGACCAUCGGUUUGCGGAUGGUAAGCUGUACUCAAACACAACUUGGUACCCAAUUCCUCUUGUAGACUCCUCCAAAACCUUGAGGUAAAACGGCUGUCACGAUCGGACACAAUCGUUAAAGGAACACCAUGAAGCCUCACAAUUUCCUUUACAUAAGAAUUCGCAAGUUUAUCCAUAGACCACAUCUCUUUGGCUGCUAUGAAAUGCGCACUCUUAGUGAAGCGAUCAACGACCACCCAAAUCAUGUCGUGACCGUUUCUUGUUCUAGGCAGUUUAGUCACAAAAUCCAUGGUGAUGUCUUCCCAUUUACCCAUGGGUACGGGUAAAGGUUCUAAACUCCCAUACGGUUUCUGAUGUUGUGCCUUAAACCUAGCACAAGUUUCACACUCGGCCACGUACUUGGCAACAUCGAGCUUCAUCGUCGGCCACCAAUAAUAGGGUUUUAGAUCCCUAUACAUUUUCGUACUGCCGGGAUGAAUUGAGUACAUGGUCUUGUGAGCUUCUUCCAUCAGAAGAUCUCUUAUUCCGCCCGUCUUAGGUACCCAAAUUCUAUCUUGAAAUACCUUCAACCCUUGGUUGUUUGUACCGAACACUAACGUUUUGCCCAAACGUUCUUCCUUUCGGUCAUUUUUCUCUAAAGCUUCCUCUUGAGCUUUCUUUAUACUUUCCACAAUUGUCGAGACAACUUCAAUUCUCAACGCUCUUGGCCUUUUCUUUUCAAGGUUUACCUUCCGACUGAGAGCAUCAGCAACAACAUUUGCUUUACCAGGGUGGUAAAGUAUCUCACUGUCAUAGUCCUUGAGUAAAUCUAGCUAGUGUCGUUGCCUCAUAUUCAAUUCCUUCUGAUUAAAGACAUAUUGGAGACUCUUAUGAUCAGUGAAAAGUUUACACUUGAUACCAUAAAGAUAAUGCCUCCAUAUCUUCAAGGCAAAUACUACCGCUGCCAACUCCAGAUCAUGAGUGGGGUAGUUCUUUUCAUGUUCCUUCAAUUGCCUCGAUGCAUACGCGAUCACUUUAUCCCUUUGGGUCAGAACACAACCUAACCCAACUCCGGAUGCAUCGCUAUAAACUGCAAAGUCAUCAACUCCUUCAGGCAAUGAAAGAAUCGGUGCUUCACACAAUCUCUUCUUCAACUUCUCAAAGGCUUCCUUAUGCUUCUCAUUCCAAGCAUAAGUGGCUCCUUUGUGGGUCAAAGCUGUUAAUGGAGUAGCAAUCGAAGAAAAGCCUUGGAUAAACCUUCGGUAAUAUCCAGCUAAUCCUAAAAAGCUUCGAAUCUCCGUAGGACUUUUUGGUUGUUCCCACUUCAUUACAGCUUCAAUCUUUGCUGGGUCGACCAUUAUCCCUUCUUGGUUAACCACAUGACCUAAAAAUUGGACUUCUUGAAUCCAAAAUUCACACUUGGAGAACUUUGCAUACAGCUUCUCCUUUUUCAGGACUUCUAGCACUUCACGCAGAUGCUUUUCAUGCUCCUGCUUGCUUUUCGAAUAAAUCAAGAUAUCAUCUAUGAAUACUAUCACGGAUUUAUCUAAGAAUGGUUUACAAACCCUAUUCAUCAAAUCCAUGAAAGCUGCUGGGGCAUUGGUUAGUCCGAACGACAUAACCAAAAAUUCAUAGUGUCCAUAUCUCGUUCUAAAAGCAGUCUUUUCGAUGUCCUGCUCUCUCACCUUUAGUUGAUGGUAUCCCGACCUAAGAUCGAUCUUCGAGAAAUAGCUCGAACCCUGCAACUGGUCGAACAAGUCAUCGAUCCUUGGCAACGGGUACUUGUUCUUUAUCGUCACUUUGUUCAGCUCUCUGUAAUCGAUGCACAUUCUCAUGCUUCCGUCUUUCUUCUUUACAAAUAACACAGGGGCUCCCCAGGGUGAUGAACUAGGUCGAAUGAAACCUUUGUCCAAUAACUCCUGAAGUUGUGUCAUAAGUUCUUUCAUUUCGGUUGGCGCUAAUCGAUAAGGUGCUUUCGCUAUCGGCGUCGUUCCUGGUAACAAGUCGAUACGAAAUUCUACUUGUCGAUCAGGGGGCAAUCCGGGAAGAUCUUCGGGAAAGACUUCCGGAUAAUCACACACCACCGGAAUAUUCUGCACCUCCUUCUUUUCCAUCUUGGCAUCGAUCACGAACGCUAGAUAUGAUGUACAUCCCUUGGCCAAACACUUUCUGGCUUUCAUUAGGGAAAUGAUUCCAGAGUUUACUCUGCGUUUGUCUCCGUACACCAUAAACGACUCUUUCCCUGGCGGGUUUACUUUUACUAUCUUCUUUCUACAUAGUAUUUCUGCAUCAUUGGCGCUAAGCCAAUCCAUUCCUAAAACUAUGUCGAAUCCAUUUAACUCGAUAGGCAAUAAUUCCUCUUGGAACUUAUUCCCAUCCAAGUCAAUGAGGAUGUUUUUCAUACGAUGGCUAACAGGUACAAACUUGCCACUAGCAAUCUCGACUAAUAAGGCAUUAACUAGCCUAUCUACAGGCAAAGCUAGCUUUCUACCAAAUUCAUGCGAUAUAAAGGAGUAAUUGGCUCCAGAAUCAAACAAAAUUUGGGCAGGCAAUUCGUUUACGAGAAAGGUACCUGAAGCGACAUCGACUUCUUCUUUUGCAGCUUCAAGUGUCAUCUGAAAGGCUCUCGCCUUCGGCUUUGGUGGUAGAUUGGGCUUUGCGGCAUCCUUCCUCUUUGGACAGUCUUUAAGAACAUGCCCUACUUCAUGGCACUCAAAACAUACCCUCUUGUCGGACGGACACACGUUGGCAUAAUGCCCAGUCUUUCCACAUUUGAAGCAAGUCACCUCCUCACUACAUCUCCCAGAGUGCUUUCUCUUGCACUUCUCACACCAUUUCACUUCACCUCCUCCUCCUCCAAACUUCUUGGACUUAGAAAAUUUGCUUUUCUUGUUGGAACCCGAAGUUCCUUCAAAUUUUCUCUUUUCACCAACUUCUGCCCUCUCCAGACCCUUCUCUUUGAUCUGAACCUCGACAUUCUUAGCAGCCCAGAUGGCGGCUUUCAAAGUGGUUGCUUGCUUAACCAUCGGACCAAAGUCCGCUGGUAAUCCGAGGGCAAACUUGUUGACCUUAGAGAGUUCAGUUGGAACUAGAUGAGGAACUAGCUUCAUCUUUUCCAUAAAACUAGCAGCGUAUUCAGUAACGCUCAUCUUUCCUUUCUUUAAAUUCUGAAACUCAUUGUUGAUUUCCAGAAGAUCCUGCUCAGAGCAGUACUGCAAUUUCAGUUGUACCACAAAUUCUUCCCAAGACAUCUUACUAGCUUCACCCUUGGGCAUCGAAUCAGCUAGUAACUUCCACCAGCUCAACACACCAGACUUUAACAGAGGAAUUGCAAGUGCGGUCUUUUGUUUGUUGCUGCACUCGCAACUUUCAAACAUCGUCUCCAUUUCGGAGAUCCAAUUCAUGACUUCCACCGGUGUCGGACUCCCAGAUAGACACGGCGGUUUGGAUGCCAUGAAAUCUUUGUAUUUGCAUCCGCGUCCAUCAACUCCUCCAUCCUGGUUGUUUUGUCUAACUAUCGGUGGGUUGGCUUGACCAAGAGUCCCACUGUAGUUCCCUCCUACUGAUUGCCCUUCAUUCAAUACGGGCUGUUCAACAGGCAUCGUAGUCUCUUCCCUAUGUUGUUGUAGUAAUCGCCUUGUCUCCUCCAUUUGGCGAUCUAACAUCAUUUGCAUCAUUGCUUGUACCCCAGCCAUCGUCAUUGGCUCAGGUGCAGCUCCUACAACAGGUACUUGCUCAACUACUUGAGGUUGAGGCUGUUGAUCCCUGUUUCCGUUUGCAUUUGCAGCUCCACUACGAGUUAUGGCCAUUACAAUCUAUAUAACGAAUAAGGCGAAUUUAGGUCUUUAUCCUUGUUAGACAUGUCAAUUCCCUUAUCACUCCGAAACGUUUACAUGUUAGUUCUAAUCUCGUAAUCAUACGCUUAGAAUCCUACACACAUAAGGUUUCCAGAUCCGGUCGGCAACAGACCAUAGAUCCGAACAAAUAAUGGCACACAUGGCAAACACAUAGCAUUUAGCACAUAAGGGCAUUUUAGGCAUCUUCCCUAAAAUAAACUAGUGCUCGUGUCUAAAAUAUGGUAGACACUCAUCUCACAAUCAUCACUUAGCAUUCUAAGUUCAAGUCUAGAAAUUCUACAAUUUCUUAGUUCGCUUAAACUAAUGCUCUGAUACCAACUGUGACAUCCCCUAAUUUCUCGGCCAGAAAAGACCGAUUUAAUUUAUGCUUUUUAAAAUAAAAUCAGAGAAAUCUUUUUAAAAGAUGUUGCGGAAUUGGUCCCCAAACAAAAUAUGAUAAAAGUUUAUCAAAACCCUUCAUUAAGAAGGUAUAUGUUUUCCAUAUAUAUAUCAAAACCUCGGGAUGUCAUGUUCCGAUACAGAUCAAAAGCAUAAACAAGACAUUAUAAGCCUUUCAACAGUUAUUUACAACUACUGGCCUAUAAUCCAAAAAUCUCUCGUUGUCCUCCGACUAUGCUCGGGGUCCACUACCUGUAACAUAAAAAGCUGAGUGGGUCAGGCUUGGGAGCCUGGUGAGCAUAUAGGGUUUUCAACCCACAAUAAUAAUAAACUUACUAAGUUCAUCAAUCAACAAUAACCCUGAUUACCCGUUCCCGUUAUCCUCACUUUAUGUCCCUAAACACUUGUCACAAGGGACCUAGCCUAAAGAAUAUCAUCGGGAUGGACACUACUGCUAAGGGGUUUCCUCAGCCAUACAUGUCCUAAAGGCAACCAUGAGGGGGAUGGAGUACAGCGAAUGAACACUCUUAGUUCAUUAACACCUACAGGUUGCGGACCUGCUAAUGUUUCCCACUGGACUGUCUAGAAAGUCCGUGGUCGUCAUCCA
RNAcentral lists this long non-coding RNA (7592 nucleotides) under Lactuca sativa (garden lettuce). Its description in RNAcentral is "long non-coding RNA (LSAT_LNC007331)". The record is from RNAcentral. Lineage: Eukaryota; Viridiplantae; Streptophyta; Magnoliopsida; Asterales; Asteraceae.